GACGAACGCUGGCGGCGUGCUUAACACAUGCAAGUCGAACGGAAAGGCCCUGCUUUUGUGGGGUGCUCGAGUGGCGAACGGGUGAGUAACACGUGAGUAACCUGCCCUUGACUUUGGGAUAACUUCAGGAAACUGGGGCUAAUACCGGAUAGGAGCUCCUGCUGCAUGGUGGGGGUUGGAAAGUUUCGGCGGUUGGGGAUGGACUCGCGGCUUAUCAGCUUGUUGGUGGGGUAGUGGCUUACCAAGGCUUUGACGGGUAGCCGGCCUGAGAGGGUGACCGGCCACAUUGGGACUGAGAUACGGCCCAGACUCCUACGGGAGGCAGCAGUGGGGAAUAUUGCACAAUGGGCGGAAGCCUGAUGCAGCAACGCCGCGUGCGGGAUGACGGCCUUCGGGUUGUAAACCGCUUUCGCCUGUGACGAAGCGUGAGUGACGGUAAUGGGUAAAGAAGCACCGGCUAACUACGUGCCAGCAGCCGCGGUGAUACGUAGGGUGCGAGCGUUGUCCGGAUUUAUUGGGCGUAAAGGGCUCGUAGGUGGUUGAUCGCGUCGGAAGUGUAAUCUUGGGGCUUAACCCUGAGCGUGCUUUCGAUACGGGUUGACUUGAGGAAGGUAGGGGAGAAUGGAAUUCCUGGUGGAGCGGUGGAAUGCGCAGAUAUCAGGAGGAACACCAGUGGCGAAGGCGGUUCUCUGGGCCUUUCCUGACGCUGAGGGGCGAAAGCGUGGGGAGCGAACAGGCUUAGAUACCCUGGUAGUCCACGCUGUAAACGGUGGGUACUAGGUGUGGGGUCCAUUCCACGGGUUCCGUGCCGUAGCUAACGCUUUAAGUACCCCGCCUGGGGAGUACGGCCGCAAGGCUAAAACUCAAAGGAAUUGACGGGGCCCCGCACAAGCGGCGGAGCAUGCGGAUUAAUUCGAUGCAACGCGUAGAACCUUACCUGGGUUUGACAUGGAUCGGGAGUGCUCAGAGAUGGGUGUGCCUCUUUUGGGGUCGGUUCACAGGUGGUGCAUGGCUGUCGUCAGCUCGUGUCGUGAGAUGUUGGGUUAAGUCCCGCAACGAGCGCAACCCUUGUUCACUGUUGCCAGCACGUUAUGGUGGGGACUCAGUGGAGACCGCCGGGGUCAACUCGGAGGAAGGUGGGGAUGACGUCAGGUCAUCAUGCCCCUUAUGUCCAGGGCUUCACGCAUGCUACAAUGGCUGGUACAGAGAGUGGCGAGCCUGUGAGGGUGAGCGAAUCUCGGAAAGCCGGUCUCAGUUCGGAUUGGGGUCUGCAACUCGACCUCAUGAAGUCGGAGUCGCUAGUAAUCGCAGAUCAGCAACGCUGCGGUGAAUACGUUCCCGGG
RNAcentral lists this ribosomal RNA (1343 nucleotides) under uncultured bacterium. RNAcentral's name for it is "16S ribosomal RNA". It matches the Rfam family "Bacterial small subunit ribosomal RNA", at positions 28 to 1378 of the family's 1533-position model. The record is from RNAcentral.